GGGCUACCGGAGUUCACUCCCAACCCAUGUGAACAUACCUACUGUUGCUUCGGCGGGAUUGCCCCGGGCGCCUCGUGUGCCCCGGAUCAGGCGCCCGCCUAGGAAACUUAACUCUUGUUUUAUUUUGGAAUCUUCUGAGUAGUUUUUACAAAUAAAUAAAAACUUUCAACAACGGAUCUCUUGGUUCUGGCAUCGAUGAAGAACGCAGCGAAAUGCGAUAAGUAAUGUGAAUUGCAGAAUUCAGUGAAUCAUCGAAUCUUUGAACGCACAUUGCGCCCGCCAGUAUUCUGGCGGGCAAUGCCUGUCUGAGCGUCAUUUCAACCCUCAUGCCCCUAGGGCGUGGUGUUGGGGAUCGGCCAAAGCCCGCGAGGGACGGCCGGCCCCUAAAUCUAGUGGCGGACCCGUCGUGGCCUCCUCUGCGAAGUAGUGAUAUUCCGCAUCGGAGAGCGACGAGCCCCUGCCGUUAAACCCCCAACUUUCCAAGGUUGACCUCAGAUCAGGUAGGAAUACCCGCUGAACUUAAGCAUAUCAAUAAGCGGAGGAAAA
RNAcentral lists this unclassified non-coding RNA (546 nucleotides) under Clonostachys rosea. RNAcentral's name for it is "sequence contains ITS1, 5.8S rRNA gene, ITS2". The stretch from base 161 to 315 matches the Rfam family "5.8S ribosomal RNA". Lineage: Eukaryota; Fungi; Ascomycota; Sordariomycetes; Hypocreales; Bionectriaceae. The record is from RNAcentral.